RNAcentral lists this ribosomal RNA (534 nucleotides) under uncultured bacterium. RNAcentral describes it as "bacterial SSU rRNA". It matches the Rfam family "Bacterial small subunit ribosomal RNA", at positions 8 to 526 of the family's 1533-position model. The record is from RNAcentral.
AGAGUUUGAUCAUGGCUCAGGACGAACGCUGGCGGCGUGCCUAAUACAUGCAAGUAGAACGCUGAAGGAGGAGCUUGCUCUUCUGGAUGAGUUGCGAACGGGUGAGUAACGCGUAGGUAACCUGCCUGGUAGCGGGGGAUAACUAUUGGAAACGAUAGCUAAUACCGCAUAACAGUAGAUGUUGCAUGACAUUUGCUUAAAAGGUGCAAUUGCAUCACUACCAGAUGGACCUGCGUUGUAUUAGCUAGUUGGUGGGGUAACGGCUUACCAAGGCGACGAUACAUAGCCGACCUGAGAGGGUGAUCGGCCACACUGGGACUGAGACACGGCCCAGACUCCUACGGGAGGCAGCAGUAGGGAAUCUUCGGCAAUGGACGGAAGUCUGACCGAGCAACGCCGCGUGAGUGAAGAAGGUUUUCGGAUCGUAAAGCUCUGUUGUAAGAGAAGAACGAGUGUGAGAGUGGAAAGUUCACACUGUGACGGUAUCUUACCAGAAAGGGACGGCUAACUACGUGCCAGCCGCCGCGGUAAUUC